AUUGAACGCUGGCGGCAGGCCUAACACAUGCAAGUCGAACGAGUGGCGGACGGGUGCGUAAUGUCUGGGAAACUGCCUGCUGGAGGGGGAUAACUACUGGAAACGGUAGCUAAUACCGCAUACCAUCGGAUGUGCCCAGAUGGGAUUAGCUAGUAGGUGGGGUAAAGUCUCACCUAGGCGACGAUCCCUAGCUGGUCUGAGAGGAUGACCAGCCAAACUGGAACUGAGACACGUCCCAGACUCCUACGGGAGGCAGCAGUGGGUAAUAUUGCACAAUGGGCGCAAGCCUGAUGCAGCCAUGCCGCGUGUAUGAAGAAGGCCUUCGGGUUGUAAAGUACUUUCAGCGGGGAGGCGGUACCCGCAGAAGAAGCACCGGCUAACUCCGUGCCAGCAGCCGCGGUAAUUC
This 406-nucleotide ribosomal RNA is filed under the name uncultured bacterium. RNAcentral describes it as "partial 16S ribosomal RNA". It matches the Rfam family "Bacterial small subunit ribosomal RNA", at positions 30 to 526 of the family's 1533-position model. The record is from RNAcentral.